RNAcentral lists this ribosomal RNA (215 nucleotides) under uncultured bacterium. Its description in RNAcentral is "partial 16S ribosomal RNA". It matches the Rfam family "Bacterial small subunit ribosomal RNA", at positions 524 to 737 of the family's 1533-position model. The record is from RNAcentral.
UACAGAGGUCUCAAGCGUUGUUCGGAUUCAUUGGGCGUAAAGCGCGUGUAGGCGGCUUUGCAAGUCGGGUGUGAAAGCCCUCAGCUCAACUGAGGAAGUGCGCCCGAAACUGCAGAGCUUGAGUGCCGGAGAGGGUGGCGGAAUUCCCCAAGUAGAGGUGAAAUUCGUAGAUAUGGGGAGGAACACCGGUGGCGAAGGCGGCCGCCUAGGACGGG